This 590-nucleotide ribosomal RNA is filed under the name uncultured fungus. Its description in RNAcentral is "eukaryotic LSU rRNA". The stretch from base 211 to 364 matches the Rfam family "5.8S ribosomal RNA". Lineage: Eukaryota; Fungi. The record is from RNAcentral.
AGUCGUAACAAGGUCUCCGUAGGUGAACCUGCGGAGGGAUCAUUACACAAAUAUGAAGGCGGGCUGGAACCUCUCGGGGUUACAGCCUUGCUGAAUUAUUCACCCUUGUCUUUUGCGUACUUCUUGUUUCCUUGGUGGGUUCGCCCACCACUAGGACAAACAUAAACCUUUUGUAAUUGCAAUCAGCGUCAGUAACAAAUUAAUAAUUACAACUUUCAACAACGGAUCUCUUGGUUCUGGCAUCGAUGAAGAACGCAGCGAAAUGCGAUAAGUAGUGUGAAUUGCAGAAUUCAGUGAAUCAUCGAAUCUUUGAACGCACAUUGCGCCCUUUGGUAUUCCAAAGGGCAUGCCUGUUCGAGCGUCAUUUGUACCCUCAAGCUUUGCUUGGUGUUGGGCGUCUUGUCUCUGGCUUUGCUGGAGACUCGCCUUAAAGUAAUUGGCAGCCGGCCUACUGGUUUCGGAGCGCAGCACAAGUCGCACUCUCUAUCAGCAAAGGUCUAGCAUCCAUUAAGCCUUUUUUUUCAACUUUUGACCUCGGAUCAGGUAGGGAUACCCGCUGAACUUAAGCAUAUCAAUAGAAGUAAAAGUCG